Molecule: microRNA precursor, 103 nt
Filed under: Marmota monax (woodchuck)
Lineage: Eukaryota; Metazoa; Chordata; Mammalia; Rodentia; Sciuridae
Source: RNAcentral
UGUGGGAUUGCUGGGUCAAAUGGUGGGUUCAUUCCAAGUUUUCUGAGAAAUCUCUGUACUGCUUUCCAUAGUGGUUGCACCAAUUUGCAGUCUCACCAGCAAU